UGGGGAAUAUUGGACAAUGGGCGAAAGCCUGAUCCAGCCAUGCCGCGUGUGUGAAGAAGGUCUUCGGAUUGUAAAGCACUUUAAGUUGGGAGGAAGGGCAUUAACCUAAUACGUUAGUGUUUUGACGUUACCGACAGAAUAAGCACCGGCUAACUCUGUGCCAGCAGCCGCGGUAAUACAGAGGGUGCAAGCGUUAAUCGGAAUUACUGGGCGUAAAGCGCGCGUAGGUGGUUUGUUAAGUUGGAUGUGAAAGCCACGGGCUCAACCUGGGAACUGCAUUCAAAACUGACUGACUAGAGUAUGGUAGAGGGUGGUGGAAUUUCCUGUGUAGCGGUGAAAUGCGUAGAUAUAGGAAGGAACACCAGUGGCGAAGGCGACCACCUGGACUAAUACUGACACUGAGGUGCGAAAGCGUGGGGAGCAAACA
This 427-nucleotide ribosomal RNA is filed under the name uncultured bacterium. RNAcentral's name for it is "partial 16S ribosomal RNA". It matches the Rfam family "Bacterial small subunit ribosomal RNA", at positions 355 to 774 of the family's 1533-position model. The record is from RNAcentral.